This 1381-nucleotide ribosomal RNA is filed under the name Ophthalmitis albosignaria. RNAcentral describes it as "16S ribosomal RNA". Lineage: Eukaryota; Metazoa; Arthropoda; Insecta; Lepidoptera; Geometridae. The record is from RNAcentral.
UGAAAAUAAUUAAUUAAAAAAAUUGAGUAUAUAAUAAAAAUAAUUUUAAUUUAAUAAUAAUUUAAUGGGGGUUAAAGUAUUAAUUAAAGAAAAAAUUUUUAUUUUUAUAGUUAAUUAGUAAUGUUAGUGAAUUUUGAAAUAAUUGAAAUUUUAUUUUUUAAAAAGUAAUUUUUAUUUAAUGUAUCUUGUGUAUCAGAGUUUAUUAAAAAUUUUUAAUAUUUUUUAAUUUCUCGAAUUUUAAAGAGUUAAAUAAUUAUAAAAGUUAUUGUAGCAUAACUAUUUUAAAUAAUUAUUUUGAAAUGAAAUGUUAUUCGUUUUAAAAGAUAUCUAGUUUUUUUAGAAAAAAAUUUAAUUUUUAAUUUUAAUAUUUUUUUUAAAAUUAAUUAAUUAAUUUUAAAAAAAUUAAAAUUUUAUAUUUUAAGGGAUAAGCUUUAAAUUAAAUUUUUAUAAUUAUUUUUUUUUUAUUUAAUAAAAUUUUUAUAAUUUAUAUUGUUAAUAAAUUUUUAUUUAUUAUAAAUAAUUUUAUUUAUUUAAAAAAUUUAAAAAUAUAAUUUAAUUUUUUAUAAAAAUAUAAUUUAAAAUAAAUUAAAGUUAGAAAUAAUGAUAAAAUUAGUAUAUUAAUAUAAUUAAUUUUAAAUUAAAAAUUUAAAUAAAUUAAUUAAUUAAAAGGAAUUCGGCAAAUUUUAUUUUCACUUGUUUAUCAAAAACAUGUCUUUUUGUAAUUUAUUUAAAGUCUAAUCUGCCCACUGAUUUUAAAAUUAAAGGGCUGCAGUAUUUUGACUGUACAAAGGUAGCAUAAUCAUUAGUCUCUUAAUUGGUGACUUGUAUGAAAGAUUGGAUGAGAAAUAUACUGUCUCUUAGUUAUUUAAUAAAAUUUAAUUUUUUAUUUAAAAAGUUAAAAUAAAUUAAAAAGACGAGAAGACCCUAUAGAGUUUGAUAAAUAUUUUUAUAAUAAAUUAUUUGUUUAAAUAAAAUUUUUAUUAAUUUAUUUAUUUUGUUGGGGUGAUAAAAAAAUAAAUUUAACUUUUUUUUAUAUUUAAACAUAAAUAAGUGAAUUUUUGAUCCAAUAGUAUUGAUUAAAAGAUUAAAUUACCUUAGGGAUAACAGCGUAAUUUUUUUUUUUAGUUCAAAUAAGAAAAAGAGUUUGCGACCUCGAUGUUGGAUUAAGAUAAAAUUUAAAUGCAAAAGUUUAAAAUUUUUGAUCUGUUCGAUCAUUAAAAUCUUACAUGAUCUGAGUUCAAACCGGUGUGAGCCAGGUUGGUUUCUAUCUUUUAAAAUUUAAAAUAUUUUAGUACGAAAGGAUCAAGUAUUUUAAUUAAAUUAUAUUUUUAUGAAUAAAAUUAAAAUAAGAAAAAAUUAUUUAUAUGUAAAAUAAAUUUAU